GCCAGGGUAGCUCAGUUGGUUAGAGCACAGGACUCAUAAGCCUGGGGUCGUGAGUUCAAAUCUCACCCCUGGUACAA
Molecule: transfer RNA, 77 nt
Filed under: Candidatus Moranbacteria bacterium CG_4_8_14_3_um_filter_34_16
Lineage: Bacteria; Candidatus Moraniibacteriota
Also listed under: 2 other names
Description: tRNA-Met
Rfam family: tRNA
About the family: Transfer RNA (tRNA) molecules are approximately 80 nucleotides in length. Their secondary structure includes four short double-helical elements and three loops (D, anti-codon, and T loops).
Source: RNAcentral